UACGUAGGUGGCGAGCGUUGUCCGGAUUUAUUGGGUUUAAAGGGUGCGUAGGCGGUCCUAUAAGUCAGUGGUGAAAUAUCGUAGCUCAACUGUGAGGGUGCCAUUGAUACUGUAGGACUUGAGUGAAUUUGAGGUAGGCGGAAUUGACGGUGUAGCGGUGAAAUGCUUAGAUAUCGUCAAGAACACCGAUAGUGAAGACAGCUUACCAAGCUUCAACUGACGCUGAGGCACGAAAGUGUGGGGAUCAAACAGG
Molecule: ribosomal RNA, 253 nt
Filed under: uncultured bacterium
Lineage: Bacteria
Description: partial 16S ribosomal RNA
Rfam family: Bacterial small subunit ribosomal RNA
Source: RNAcentral